Molecule: ribosomal RNA, 435 nt
Filed under: uncultured bacterium
Lineage: Bacteria
Description: partial 16S ribosomal RNA
Rfam family: Bacterial small subunit ribosomal RNA
Source: RNAcentral
UGGGGAAUUUUGGACAAUGGGCGAAAGCCUGAUCCAGCAAUGCCGCGUGUGUGAAGAAGGCCUUCGGGUUGUAAAGCACUUUUGUCCGGAAAGAAAUCCUCUGGGUUAAUACCUCGGGGGGAUGACGGUACCGGAAGAAUAAGCACCGGCUAACUACGUGCCAGCAGCCGCGGUAAUACGUAGGGUGCAAGCGUUAAUCGGAAUUACUGGGCGUAAAGCGUGCGCAGGCGGUUUUGUAAGACGGAUGUGAAAUCCCCCGGGCUUAACCUGGGAACUGCAUUCGUGACUGCAAGGCUAGAGUAUGGCAGAGGGGGGUAGAAUUCCACGUGUGAGCAGUGAAAUGCGUAGAGAUGUGGAGGAAUACCGAUGGCGAAGGCAGCCCCCUGGGCCAAUACUGACGCUCAUGCACGAAAGCGUGGGGGAGCAAACAGGAUU